Molecule: ribosomal RNA, 772 nt
Filed under: uncultured bacterium
Lineage: Bacteria
Description: bacterial SSU rRNA
Rfam family: Bacterial small subunit ribosomal RNA
Source: RNAcentral
AGAGUUUGAUCCUGGCUCAGGACGAACGCUGGCGGCGUGCUUAACACAUGCAAGUCGAACGGGCUAUAGCAAUAUAGCUAGUGGCGAACGGGUGAGUAACGCGUGACCAAUCUGCCCCAGACUGCGGAAUAACGGUGGGAAACUACCGCUAAUACCGCAUGUUGAAAUCGAGUCGCAUGGCUUGAUUUUGAAAGCUUCGGCGGUCUGGGAUGAGGUCGCGACCUAUUAGCUUGUUGGUGAGGUAACGGCUCACCAAGGCAACGAUGGGUAGCUGGUCUGAGAGGAUGAUCAGCCACACUGGGACUGAGAUACGGCCCAGACUCCUACGGGAGGCAGCAGUGAGGAAUAUUGCGCAAUGGACGAAAGUCUGACGCAGCAACGCCGCGUGAAGGAUGAAGGUGCUUUGCAUUGUAAACUUCUGUAGGGGGGGACGAAUAUCCCGGUUUUGCCGGGACUGACGGUACCCCCAAAGUAAGCACCGGCUAAUUCCGUGCCAGCAGCCGCGGUAAUACGGAAGGUGCAAGCGUUGUCCGGAUUAACUGGGUGUAAAGGGCGUGUAGGCGGAGGAAUGUGUCGGAAGUGAAAUCGUGCGGCUUAACCGUAUCAUUGCUUUCGAAACUGUUCCCCUUGAGUUCGAGAGAGGCAGAUGGAAUACCAGUGUAGCGGUGGAAUGCGUAGAUUCUGGUAGAACACCGGCGAAGCGGUCUGCUGGCUCGAUACUGACGCUAGCGCGAAAGUGUGGGUAGCGAACAGGAUUAGAUACCCUGGUAGU